This 72-nucleotide transfer RNA is filed under the name Candidatus Kaiserbacteria bacterium RIFCSPHIGHO2_01_FULL_51_33. RNAcentral's name for it is "tRNA-Arg". It matches the Rfam family "tRNA". From Rfam's summary of the family: Transfer RNA (tRNA) molecules are approximately 80 nucleotides in length. Their secondary structure includes four short double-helical elements and three loops (D, anti-codon, and T loops). RNAcentral also lists the same sequence under 2 other names. Lineage: Bacteria; Candidatus Kaiseribacteriota. The record is from RNAcentral.
GCUGCCGUAGUUCAACGGACAGAAUAGGGGACUCCUAAGCCCUUGAUGCAGGUUCGACUCCUGCCGGUGGCA